This 548-nucleotide ribosomal RNA is filed under the name uncultured Bifidobacterium sp. Its description in RNAcentral is "bacterial SSU rRNA". It matches the Rfam family "Bacterial small subunit ribosomal RNA", at positions 147 to 710 of the family's 1533-position model. The record is from RNAcentral. Lineage: Bacteria; Bacillati; Actinomycetota; Actinomycetes; Bifidobacteriales; Bifidobacteriaceae.
CUCCUGGAAACGGGUGGUAAUGCCGGAUGUUCCAGUUGAUCGCAUGGUCUUCUGGGAAAGCUUUCGCGGUAUGGGAUGGGGUCGCGUCCUAUCAGCUUGACGGCGGGGUAACGGCCCACCGUGGCUUCGACGGGUAGCCGGCCUGAGAGGGCGACCGGCCACAUUGGGACUGAGAUACGGCCCAGACUCCUACGGGAGGCAGCAGUGGGGAAUAUUGCACAAUGGGCGCAAGCCUGAUGCAGCGACGCCGCGUGAGGGAUGGAGGCCUUCGGGUUGUAAACCUCUUUUAUCGGGGAGCAAGCGUGAGUGAGUUUACCCGUUGAAUAAGCACCGGCUAACUACGUGCCAGCAGCCGCGGUAAUACGUAGGGUGCAAGCGUUAUCCGGAAUUAUUGGGCGUAAAGGGCUCGUAGGCGGUUCGUCGCGUCCGGUGUGAAAGUCCAUCGCUUAACGGUGGAUCCGCGCCGGGUACGGGCGGGCUUGAGCGCGGUAGGGGAGACUGGAAUUCCCGGUGUAACGGUGGAAUGUGUAGAUAUCGGGAAGAACACC